AGAGUUUGAUCCUGGCUCAGAGCGAACGCUGGCGGCAGGCUUAACACAUGCAAGUCGAGCGGGCAUAGCAAUAUGUCAGCGGCAGACGGGUGAGUAACGCGUGGGAACAUACCUUUUGGUUCGGAACAACACAGGGAAACUUGUGCUAAUACCGGAUAAGCCCUUACGGGGAAAGAUUUAUCGCCGAAAGAUUGGCCCGCGUCUGAUUAGCUAGUUGGUGAGGUAACGGCUCACCAAGGCGACGAUCAGUAGCUGGUCUGAGAGGAUGAUCAGCCACAUUGGGACUGAGACACGGCCCAAACUCCUACGGGAGGCAGCAGUGGGGAAUAUUGGACAAUGGGCGCAAGCCUGAUCCAGCCAUGCCGCGUGAGUGAUGAAGGCCCUAGGGUUGUAAAGCUCUUUUGUGCGGGAAGAUAAUGACGGUACCGCAAGAAUAAGCCCCGGCUAACUUCGUGCCAGCAGCCGCGGUAAUACGAAGGGGGCUAGCGUUGCUCGGAAUCACUGGGCGUAAAGGGUGCGUAGGCGGGUCUUUAAGUCAGGGGUGAAAUCCUGGAGCUCAACUCCAGAACUGCCUUUGAUACUGAGGAUCUUGAGUUCGGGAGAGGUGAGUGGAACUGCGAGUGUAGAGGUGAAAUUCGUAGAUAUUCGCAAGAACACCAGUGGCGAAGGCGGCUCACUGGCCCGAUACUGACGCUGAGGCACGAAAGCGUGGGGAGCAAACAGGAUUAGAUGCCCUGGUAGUCCACGCCGUAAACGAUGAAUGCCAGCCGUUAGUGGGUUUACUCACUAGUGGCGCAGCUAACGCUUUAAGCAUUCCGCCUGGGGAGUACGGUCGCAAGAUUAAAACUCAAAGGAAUUGACGGGGGCCCGCACAAGCGGUGGAGCAUGUGGUUUAAUUCGACGCAACGCGCAGAACCUUACCAGCCCUUGACAUCCCGGUCGCGGAUUCCAGAGACGGAGUCCUUCAGUUCGGCUGGACCGGAGACAGGUGCUGCAUGGCUGUCGUCAGCUCGUGUCGUGAGAUGUUGGGUUAAGUCCCGCAACGAGCGCAACCCCCGUCCUUAGUUGCUACCAUUUAGUUGAGCACUCUAAGGAGACUGCCGGUGAUAAGCCGCGAGGAAGGUGGGGAUGACGUCAAGUCCUCAUGGCCCUUACGGGCUGGGCUACACACGUGCUACAAUGGCGGUGACAAUGGGACGCUAAGGGGCAACCCUUCGCAAAUCUCAAAAAGCCGUCUCAGUUCGGAUUGGGCUCUGCAACUCGAGCCCAUGAAGUUGGAAUCGCUAGUAAUCGUGGAUCAGCAUGCCACGGUGAAUACGUUCCCGGGCCUUGUACACACCGCCCGUCACACCAUGGGAGUUGGUUUUACCUGAAGACGGUGCGCUAACCCGCAAGGGAGGCAGCCGGCCACGGUAGGGUCAGCGACUGGGGUGAAGUCGUAACAAGGUA
RNAcentral lists this ribosomal RNA (1449 nucleotides) under metagenome. Its description in RNAcentral is "bacterial SSU rRNA". It matches the Rfam family "Bacterial small subunit ribosomal RNA". The record is from RNAcentral.